AACAGGUGUGAUCUCUGUAACCAUGCUGAAGGUAUUUCUGCUUGGAUGCCUCCUGAGCCUCACUUUGGCUCAACCUAUGGACAUGGAGCACCACCGAUUUGCUCGGUCAGGUUCUGGCUCUAGCUCUGGCUCUGGCUCCAAUGAGCAAACCACCACCCAGUCAACAACAACGACUACCGCAACUACCACAACAGCAGCAUCUGCAACACUGUCUACACAACAGAUUCUACAGCUCCUUCUUACCCUCUUACAGAGAUAAAAAACAACAAUCACAGUGCCGCUAUGACUACUGCAGCCACUCCUACUGCAAAAUAAAAUCAGAAAUUUAAACAGUUAUCAAUAAUUGAAAGACAACCAGUUUUGGACAUCAGCUUUGUUUCGUGUCAGUUUGUCAUGACUGCUUCUUUCUCUUCUCCAUUUUCAACAAUGUUGUUGUAGAAUCUGCUUAAUAAACUUCAUAAAUGCAAAAUGUCGA
Molecule: long non-coding RNA, 475 nt
Organism: Scatophagus argus
Lineage: Eukaryota; Metazoa; Chordata; Actinopteri; Scatophagidae
Exons: 3
Source: RefSeq, a predicted model, not a curated record